AUGGACGAAAGUCUGACCGAGCAACGCCGCGUGAGUGAAGAAGGUUUUCGGAUCGUAAAACUCUGUUGUUAGAGAAGAACAAGGAUGAGAGUAACUGUUCAUCCCUUGACGGUAUCUAACCAGAAAGCCACGGCUAACUACGUGCCAGCAGCCGCGGUAAUACGUAGGUGGCAAGCGUUGUCCGGAUUUAUAAGGGCGUAAAGCGAGCGCAGGCGGUUUCUUAAGUCUGAUGUGAAAGCCCCCGGCUCAACCGGGGAGGGUCAUUGGAAACUGGGAGACUUGAGUGCAGAAGAGGAGAGUGGAAUUCCAUGUGUAGCGGUGAAAUGCGUAGAUAUAUGGAGGAACACCAGUGGCGAANGCGGCUCUCUGGUCUGUAACUGACGCUGAGGCUCGAAAGCGUGGGGAGCAAACAGGAUUAGAUACCCUGGUAGUCCACGCCGUAAACGAUGAGUGCUAAGUGUNGGAGGGUNUCCGCCCUUCAGUGCUGCAGCUAACGCAUCAAGCACUCCGCCUGGGGAGUACGACCGC
Molecule: ribosomal RNA, 528 nt
Filed under: bacterium E-3-48-3A
Lineage: Bacteria
Description: bacterial SSU rRNA
Rfam family: Bacterial small subunit ribosomal RNA
Source: RNAcentral